Dreissena polymorpha is the source of this 1275-nucleotide long non-coding RNA. RefSeq lists it as uncharacterized. The record is from RefSeq and is a predicted model, not a curated record. Lineage: Eukaryota; Metazoa; Mollusca; Bivalvia; Myida; Dreissenidae. The transcript has 3 exons.
CAUGAUUUGUUUUAAAUCUUGUACAUGUUUCAUAAAGUUAUUAACUAUAACAAUCAAAUUUUUUUUGCUAAAUAAGACCUGAGUCGUCCAUAAUAUAAGCACUCGAGAGUUUAUGUGUAGUGAAAAUAAUUUACAUUUAAGAAUAUUAAUAAUGCAUGUGAUUAUGAAAGGCAAUGACAUUUGUCAAAUAUUGAAAUACUUAUAUAGUACAAAAAUAUGAAAUCAGUUACAUACCAAUAAAUUACUGUGAUAUCAGAAUUACGGUAAUUUAAUCCUAAAAACUAUACACAGCUUUUUGUUACACGAGCCGAUCCAUGUUCCUUUGAUGGAACUCUGCAUUACUCGUGGGAGUUUGCACAGACUGUGCAUUAUCCACAACAUGCAAGACAGGCUGACCCUAUCUACUUUGCGUCGCCAAGGGAACAGGAAAUCAAACGUUCUACCUGUUUGAUGAGGCAGAGCUGCCUUGAAAGGGUGCUGACUGUGUCAUAAGCUUCGUGCACCAUUAUUUCCAGCACUAUGGUUAUGAAGAGAAGAAUGCGCAGGCCUUUAUGAAUCCAUCAGCAUCAACACCAUGCUAGCAGGACACACAAUGCUCCUGACUUGCAUUUUGGUGUUUGGAAAUUGAAGUGGAGGGCGAGUGAUGCAGAGACAAUGCAAGACAUUGCUAUUACCCUAUGAUCAUCAUAGCGGUCAGGUCACAACAUUCCCCAUCUCGUGUUUUACAUGGAGAUUCCGGUCAAAUUCUUUGAGUGGCAGUCACACCUUGAAGCCUUGUUCAGGAAAAUAAAAAACAUAACCAAAUACCACCAUUUCUUUGUUUCCAAAGAUGAUCACAGUGGUUUGCAUUGUAAGUAGUAUGCUGACUCUACCGAGAAGUGUUUUGAUCUUUUGAAGUGUUCAAUAAAUAAGAAUGCCAUGCCUCUACCCAAUACCAUUCCAGUGCUACCUUUAGAAAGACAGUGGUACUUGUAUGAUCACAUUACGAAAUUUGUCAGGUCUGAGUCACCAAAAUAGAAAACAUGUCCCAAACAUCUUAUUCCAAAGUAAUGGUUUAUUUGGAAUGUACAAUUUUUUUAAAUUCCUGACAAUUUAGGCAUUAAUAAAUGUUGUAUAUAGGGAUUUGUGUGCAGUAAAGUAUUAUUACAUGUAUAUCUGUAUGUAUUGUUUAUGUGCCUGCAAUGACUGGUAAAUUAUGUCAAUGUUUUAUAAUGAUGUCAUUAUUAUGUUAAUUUACAUGCAUUUCAAGUAUAGUCCAUGUUGUGUGAUUUUUUU